UUAGCAAAGAACAGGUCAGGCC
RNAcentral lists this non-coding RNA (22 nucleotides) under Arabidopsis thaliana (thale cress). The record is from RNAcentral. Lineage: Eukaryota; Viridiplantae; Streptophyta; Magnoliopsida; Brassicales; Brassicaceae.